GGUACAUCCACAGUUAACAUGGGACAUGGAUCCACAGCAUGGUCCACAGUUAGCCUUGUACAUGGAUCCACUGUUAACAUGGUAUGUACAUCCACAGUUAACAUGGGACAUGGAUCCACAGCAUGGUCCACAGUUAGCCUUGUACAUGGAUCCACUGUUAACAUGGUAUGUACAUCCACAGUUAACAUGGGACAUGGAUCCACAGCAUGGUACACAGGUCCACAGUUAGCCUUGUACAUGGAUCCACUGUUAACAUGGUAUGUACAUCCACAGUUAACAUGGGACAUGGAUCCACAGCAUGGUACACAGGUCCACAGUUAGCCUUGUACAUGGAUCCACUGUUAACAUGGUAUGUACAUCCACAGUAAACAUGGGACAUGGAUCCACAGCAUGGUCCACAGUUAGCCUUGUACAUAGAUCCACUGUUAACAUGGUAUGUACAUCCACAGUUAACAUGGGACAUGGAUCCACAGCAUGGUACACAGGUCCACAGUUAGCCUUGUACAUGGAUCCACUGUUAACAUGGGACAUGGUCCACAGUUAACAUUGUACAUAGAUCCACUGUUAACAUGGUAUGUACAUCCACAGUUAACAUGGGAGAUGGAUCUACAGUUAACAUGGUACACAGGUCCACAGUUAACAUUGUACAUAGAUCCACUGUUAACAUGGUAUGUACAUCCACAGUUAACAUGGGACAUGGAUCCACAGCAUGGUACACAGGUCCACAGUUAGCCUUGUACAUGGAUCCACUGUUUACAUGGUAUGUACAUCCACAGUUAACAUGGGACAUGGAUCCACAGCAUGGUACACAGGUCCACAGUUAGCCUUGUACAUGGAUCCACUGUUAACAUGGUAUGUACAUCCACAGUUAACAUGGGACAUGGAUCCACUGCAUGGUCCACAGUUAGCCUUGUACAUGGAUCCACUGUUAACAUGGUAUGUACAUCCACAGUUAACAUGGGACAUGGAUCCACAGCAUGGUA
Long non-coding RNA from Haliotis rubra (blacklip abalone), 983 nucleotides. RefSeq lists it as uncharacterized. The transcript has 4 exons. Lineage: Eukaryota; Metazoa; Mollusca; Gastropoda; Lepetellida; Haliotidae. The record is from RefSeq and is a predicted model, not a curated record.